CGGGCCCCCGCCAGAGGCGAUAUAAGCCAAGAAUCGGCCCGCGCGUUAGGCGCACACUUGGCCGCGCCAUGAAGCCGCUUGGCCUCUACGCGCUCGCCGUGAUCCUCCUCCUCCUCCUCGUCUGCCUGCACACGGCGCAGCCCGCGAGGCGGAAGCGGCAGAGGCCUUACCAGAAACCUGGCUAUUGCCCAGAGUUUCUUCUUGAAUGCCCUUUCACCCUCUUCCCUGCGUGCAAGCGCGAUAAGGGUUGCCCCAGGACGAAGAAGUGUUGUUUCUACAACUGCAAGAAGCAGUGUCUGGAGCCCUUGACAAGCUGGGAUUGAGCUUAUAAUAGUGAAUCACUUAAAAAUAUGAGGUAGAAACCCCUUCUUAACCAGACCUGAGAAGAUCCAUGGCACCGGCUGAGACCUGGAUAACUGACCCCCAAUUCCUCCACGCUCUGCUCACUCCCCAAACUUUCUUUCAUCAAAAGUUAAAUGCUUAUUAAUAUGAAAACAACAGAAAGAAAUUGUGUUGUAUAUUUAAAACUACAUGAAAAUCUAUGACUCCUGGAUGUCCCCCCGCCCCCCACCUCGCUUCUCUUUCAGCCUUUGCCCGGGGGGGGGGGUCCUUUAGAGUUUGUAAAAAGGGUAGAAGUUACUGUUUCACAUUUCAUUUUGGUUGGUUCUUGCACUUCUGUUUUUUCGGAUAUGUUUCUCUCUCGCAGUGUCUCCUGACCUUCAGGUUUUUUGUUGGUCAGAUUCCAGGGGCAUUUUUGAGUCAUAUCUUCUGGGUCUGGAUCCUGUGAAAGCUGUACACAUUACCCCCAGGUGGAUGAGGAAGACGGGUGAUUGUCUCUGGUGUUGCUGCCUUUCCACUCGUGCGAGUAGCGUGUUCUCGGGCCACGUCUGGAACUUAGGGCUGGAAAUGGAGCAGGUCGUGCCUUUGUUCCAAGCUACUUUAGGGUCUUGAAUGUAGACCCAUCAUAAAUCAGGAAAAGAAACACUGUGACCCACUUUAGCUACCUUAAGUCUUAGUGUGGGGGUGCAGCCCCUAAGCUACCUAAUAAUGAAAUGAUACCCUUGCAUUUCUUACCUUCUGCUAUGUGAUUCAGUCUUGAUUAGGGGUCACACAAGGAUUUCAGGUCGGGGAACGUGGCCUUCAAAAAAUUUAUUUUUCUUGGACACACACACACCUGAAACAAAGUUUUGUGAAGCUGCCGUUGCCUAGAAUGUUUUAAGUUGACGUAUAAUAUUUUUCAUCAUAACUUACAUGGUUGCAAGUGCUAAAAUUUUAAGGAUAUGAUGAGUAUUUUCAUUUAAAUACAAUGGCCUGGGUGGCUCAGUCAGUUAGGCAUCCGACUCUUGAUUGCAGCUCAGGUCAUGAUCUCAUGGUUCAUGAGAUCAAGCCCCACGUCAGGCUCUGCAGUGACAGCGGAGCCUGCUUGGGAUUCUCUGUCUCCCUCUCUCUCUGCCCCUCCCCCCCUUUCUCUCAAAAUAAAUAAAUCAACUUUUAAAAAAUAAAUAAAUAUAACGGGGACCUCACUCUUUCCUUUUGUAAUUUUUUUCAAUGUUUAUUUUUGAGAGACAAAGACAGAGCACGAGCAGGGGAGGGGCAGAGAGAGACACACACACGGAACCCGAAGCAGGCUCCAGUCUCUGAACUGUCAGCACAGAGCCCCAUGCAGGGCCUCAAACUCAGGAACAGUGCGAUCAUGACCUGAGCCGAGGUUGGACACUUAACCCACUGAGCCACCCAGGCACCCACGGGACCUCACUCAUUCUAAUGUUUCUAAUGAAAUCUGAAAACCGUCUUCAUUUAAUAAUGAUAUGUAUUAGAAAAACACAUGUUCUUACUUUUCCAAAACUUCUUCUGCCUCCGCACUUUCUUUUCCGUCCCUGCUUGAAUAAUUCAAGUCAAAACAAA
Long non-coding RNA from Panthera uncia (snow leopard), 1905 nucleotides. RefSeq lists it as uncharacterized. Lineage: Eukaryota; Metazoa; Chordata; Mammalia; Carnivora; Felidae. The transcript has 4 exons. The record is from RefSeq and is a predicted model, not a curated record.